Molecule: ribosomal RNA, 319 nt
Filed under: Psilochorus imitatus
Lineage: Eukaryota; Metazoa; Arthropoda; Arachnida; Araneae; Pholcidae
Description: partial 12S ribosomal RNA
Source: RNAcentral
GGUAGUAGUACACAACAAAACCCAUGAAGGUUGGCGGUUACAACUCACUAGAGGAGCUUGUUUCAUAAUCGACAACACACGAUAAUUUUUACUUAAUUAUUAAAGCUCAUAUACCGCCGUUACAACAGGAAAUUUACAAUAGAAAUCCCACUAAAGAACUAAUCCCUAAAAAAUCAGGUCAAGGUGUCGCCUUUAAUCAAGAAGAAAUUAGCUACUUAUAAAAAUAAUUUAAGAAUUAUAACCCAAAACCGCUAUGAAAGAGAAUCCAUAUUCAUAAUUAACUUAAAAAUUUAAUUAGAAACAUUUAAAGUUGUAAUGC